This is a long non-coding RNA of Belonocnema kinseyi, 706 nucleotides long. RefSeq lists it as uncharacterized. The record is from RefSeq and is a predicted model, not a curated record. Lineage: Eukaryota; Metazoa; Arthropoda; Insecta; Hymenoptera; Cynipidae. The transcript is spliced from 3 exons.
CACUAGUCUUGACGUUCCGUGACAGUUUUUUAAAUAUUUUUGAAACUUUUGACUUGACUCUUGAUAUCCGAAUUCAGAACUAUAGUGAUGAAGUUCACAUGGAAAAAAACUUUCCUAAAUGCAGUUAUACUUUUUUUAUGGAAAACUAUUAAAGUUUGUGGUGAUUCUAUAGUAACCAUUGAGGACACUAAUAUUAUUGAAAGUCAUAUGAUUACAAGAUGUGGUCGAACUGUAUCAGGUUUUAUGGGAAUACAUUAUGCAGAACCACCAACUGGGCAACUAAGAUGCUGAAGCAGUUGAAGGAUUUUCUUGGAGAUUUUUUAAAGAACUUUCCUGCAAUUCUAGUAGCUAAUCGACAUUCGAAAAUUUCUAAACGACCUCUCUACUUUUAUUUAUUUAAUUAUAGAGGUUUAUUAAGUGCCUCCCAUAAUGCGACACAUAAAAAAUCGAAUAUUGGUGUAGACCACACAGAUGAAACUUAUUAUGACUGAUGUCAUGGUAGAUUUGUGGACAUCACUUGCUUUUAAUGGCGUACCAGUUUCUGAUGAAUUAUCUGGAAGCCCUGAUAUGUGGAAACCAUACCAACCAGGAAGGAAUAUUCUGGAAAUCGGCAAUUUCUCAAAUACGAAGACACAAAUUGUGCAUUUUAUCUUUGAGAAGAGAAUGAAGUUUUGGAAACGGAAUUUUUCUUAUUUAUAUUAAAAAA